UAAGGAAUAUUGGUCAAUGGACGCAAGUCUGAACCAGCCAUGCCGCGUGAAGGAUGAAGGUCCUCUGGAUUGUAAACUUCUUUUAUCUGGGACGAAAACGGGAUUUUUAUCUCAAUUGACGGUACCAGAGGAAUAAGCACCGGCUAACUCCGUGCCAGCAGCCGCGGUAAUACGGAGGGUGCGAGCGUUAUCCGGAUUUACUGGGUUUAAAGGGUGCGUAGGUGGGCUUAUAAGUCAGUGGUGAAAUCUCCGAGCUUAACUUGGAAACUGCCGUUGAUACUAUAGGUCUUGAAUUAUCUGAAGGUAAGCGGAAUAUGUCAUGUAGCGGUGAAAUGCUUAGAUGUGACAUAGAACACCAAUUGCGAAGGCAGCUUACUACAUAUAAAUUGACGCUGAGGCACGAAAGCGUGGGGAUCAAACA
RNAcentral lists this ribosomal RNA (421 nucleotides) under uncultured bacterium. Its description in RNAcentral is "bacterial SSU rRNA". It matches the Rfam family "Bacterial small subunit ribosomal RNA", at positions 355 to 774 of the family's 1533-position model. The record is from RNAcentral.